ACCGAGGUGGUGAAAUUGGUAGACACGCUAUCUUGAGGAGAUAGUGCUUUACGGCGUAUGGGUUCAAGUCCCGUCCUCGGUA
Molecule: transfer RNA, 82 nt
Filed under: Buchnera aphidicola (Aphis glycines)
Lineage: Bacteria; Pseudomonadati; Pseudomonadota; Gammaproteobacteria; Enterobacterales; Erwiniaceae
Description: tRNA-Leu
Rfam family: tRNA
About the family: Transfer RNA (tRNA) molecules are approximately 80 nucleotides in length. Their secondary structure includes four short double-helical elements and three loops (D, anti-codon, and T loops).
Source: RNAcentral